AGAGAGAGAGAGAGAGAGGUGAAGAUUUUUGCUUUCAUUGGAUCUUUCUGUCUGACAUCAAACAUUUCUAUGGUAGACACGGAUUUGGAACUUGAAAUCACCGUAACUACAUGGAUUGAAUUUUAAACUGAGCAAUGCAACUGAAAAGAGAUAUGGUGCAUCUUUUGCUAAUCGAUUAUUGGGGAAGUUGGUUGAUGACCUUACAUUUGCAAAAUUGGUAUGAUAACUCUAACGAUGAUAGAUUUUUAUUAAACGAAGAUUUGGGCAUACUGUUGCCUGUCAGGUUCUCUAUGAGGGAUAAUCAAGUGUUUUCUGGUUAAGUAGAGGUGAUGAAUUGCAGUUCUAUAUGUUUACAAUGGAAACAAAUUACAAAAACAGAAGAAAAGUUAUGAAGUUUUAGGAGCUUUGAAGUAUAUUUUGAUUGUGUGCUUGUAUUGACUAUUCUUAUUGAACUGAUGUAAUUUCAAUUUGUCCUUGUGUAGCAUAAUUUAAAGAGCCGGAGAG
RNAcentral lists this unclassified non-coding RNA (504 nucleotides) under Hevea brasiliensis (rubber tree). The record is from RNAcentral. Lineage: Eukaryota; Viridiplantae; Streptophyta; Magnoliopsida; Malpighiales; Euphorbiaceae.